CCUACGGGGGGCAGCAGUGGGGACUAUUGCACAAUGGGGGAAACCCUGAUGCAGCGACGCCGCGUGAGUGAAGAAGUAUUUCGGUACGUAAAGCUCUAUCAGCAGGGAAGAAAACCCGGCCUUAGGGCCGCCAGACGGUACCUGACUAAGAAGCCCCGGCUAACUACGUGCCAGCAGCCGCGGUAAUACGUAGGGGGCAAGCGUUAUCCGGAUUUACUGGGUGUAAAGGGAGAGUAGACGGCAAGGUAAGCCAGAAGGGAAAGCCCGCGGCUCACCUGCGGGACUGCUUUUGGAACUAUCUAGCUAGAUGGCAGGAGAGGUAAGUGGAAUUCCUAGUGUAGCGGUGAAAUGCGUAGAUAUUAGGAGGAACACCAGUGGCGAAGGCGGCUUAAGGGACUGUAAAUGACGCUGAGGCUCGAAAGCGUGGGGAGCAAACAGGAUUAGAUACCCUGGUAGUC
Molecule: ribosomal RNA, 458 nt
Filed under: uncultured bacterium
Lineage: Bacteria
Description: partial 16S ribosomal RNA
Rfam family: Bacterial small subunit ribosomal RNA
Source: RNAcentral